UCAAAUUCCAUAGUAAGAUUUCCACUUCGAACAUCAAUAUUUGUACAUGUGAUACUUAGAAAUGGUCUUCUGGGUAGAAUAUCAUGAACAUUUUUUGAGUGGUCGUCCUCUAUAUCGAUGAUGUAAAAGUCUGCAGGAAAAAUUAGUUCAUUUACCUUUACGAGGACAUCUUCCAGCACUUCUUCUGGAUAUACACAUGACCUGUUUGCAAAUUGAAUAAUC
This 222-nucleotide long non-coding RNA is filed under the name Gossypium barbadense (sea-island cotton). RNAcentral's name for it is "long non-coding RNA (GBAR_LNC006425)". Lineage: Eukaryota; Viridiplantae; Streptophyta; Magnoliopsida; Malvales; Malvaceae. The record is from RNAcentral.